RNAcentral lists this ribosomal RNA (1347 nucleotides) under uncultured bacterium. RNAcentral's name for it is "bacterial SSU rRNA". It matches the Rfam family "Bacterial small subunit ribosomal RNA", at positions 28 to 1381 of the family's 1533-position model. The record is from RNAcentral.
GAUGAACGCUGGCGGCGUGCUUAACACAUGCAAGUCGAACGGGAUCCAUCAGGCUUUGCUUGGUGGUGAGAGUGGCGAACGGGUGAGUAAUGCGUGACCGACCUGCCCCAUACACCGGAAUAGCUCCUGGAAACGGGUGGUAAUGCCGGAUGCUCCGACUCCUCGCAUGGGGUGUCGGGAAAGAUUUCAUCGGUAUGGGAUGGGGUCGCGUCCUAUCAGGUAGUCGGCGGGGUAACGGCCCACCGAGCCUACGACGGGUAGCCGGCCUGAGAGGGCGACCGGCCACAUUGGGACUGAGAUACGGCCCAGACUCCUACGGGAGGCAGCAGUGGGGAAUAUUGCACAAUGGGCGCAAGCCUGAUGCAGCGACGCCGCGUGCGGGAUGACGGCCUUCGGGUUGUAAACCGCUUUUGAUCAGGAGCAAGCCUUCGGGUGAGUGUACCUUUCGAAUAAGCACCGGCUAACUACGUGCCAGCAGCCGCGGUAAUACGUAGGGUGCAAGCGUUAUCCGGAAUUAUUGGGCGUAAAGGGCUCGUAGGCGGUUCGUCGCGUCCGGUGUGAAAGUCCAUCGCUUAACGGUGGAUCUGCGCCGGGUACGGGCGGGCUGGAGUGCGGUAGGGGAGACUGGAAUUCCCGGUGUAACGGUGGAAUGUGUAGAUAUCGGGAAGAACACCAAUGGCGAAGGCAGGUCUCUGGGCCGUUACUGACGCUGAGGAGCGAAAGCGUGGGGAGCGAACAGGAUUAGAUACCCUGGUAGUCCACGCCGUAAACGGUGGAUGCUGGAUGUGGGGCCCGUUCCACGGGUUCCGUGUCGGAGCUAACGCGUUAAGCAUCCCGCCUGGGGAGUACGGCCGCAAGGCUAAAACUCAAAGAAAUUGACGGGGGCCCGCACAAGCGGCGGAGCAUGCGGAUUAAUUCGAUGCAACGCGAAGAACCUUACCUGGGCUUGACAUGUUCCCGACAGCCGUAGAGAUAUGGCCUCCCUUCGGGGCGGGUUCACAGGUGGUGCAUGGUCGUCGUCAGCUCGUGUCGUGAGAUGUUGGGUUAAGUCCCGCAACGAGCGCAACCCUCGCCCUGUGUUGCCAGCACGUCAUGGUGGGAACUCACGGGGGACCGCCGGGGUCAACUCGGAGGAAGGUGGGGAUGACGUCAGAUCAUCAUGCCCCUUACGUCCAGGGCUUCACGCAUGCUACAAUGGCCGGUACAACGGGAUGCGACACGGCGACGUGGAGCGGAUCCCUGAAAACCGGUCUCAGUUCGGAUUGGAGUCUGCAACCCGACUCCAUGAAGGCGGAGUCGCUAGUAAUCGCGGAUCAGCAACGCCGCGGUGAAUGCGUUCCCGGGCCU